Non-coding RNA from Schistosoma mattheei, 45 nucleotides. Lineage: Eukaryota; Metazoa; Platyhelminthes; Trematoda; Strigeidida; Schistosomatidae. The record is from Rfam.
ACCCAGCUAACGUGUCCCAAAUGGGACGAAACGUGCGUCCUGGAU